Molecule: ribosomal RNA, 1498 nt
Filed under: uncultured bacterium
Lineage: Bacteria
Description: 16S ribosomal RNA
Rfam family: Bacterial small subunit ribosomal RNA
Source: RNAcentral
UAGAGUUUGAUCAUGGCUCAGGAUGAACGCUAGCGACAGGCUUAACACAUGCAAGUCGAGGGGCAGCGGGGAGGUAGCAAUACUUCCGCCGGCGACCGGCGCACGGGUGAGUAACACGUAUGGAACCUGCCCGUAGCAGGGGGAUAAACGGAAGAAAUUCCGUCUAAUACCGCGUAAUAACUCCGAGAGGCAUCUCAUGGAGUUUAAAGGGUAACACCGGCUACGGAUGGCCAUGCGGCGCAUUAGCUAGUUGGCGGGGUAACGGCCCACCAAGGCGACGAUGCGUAGGGGUUCUGAGAGGAAGGUCCCCCACACUGGUACUGAGACACGGACCAGACUCCUACGGGAGGCAGCAGUGAGGAAUAUUGGUCAAUGGGCGCGAGCCUGAACCAGCCAAGUCGCGUGAGGGAAGACGGUCCUAUGGAUUGUAAACCUCUUUUGUCGGGGAGCAAAAGACGCCACGCGUGGCGUUCCGAGAGUACCCGAAGAAAAAGCAUCGGCUAACUCCGUGCCAGCAGCCGCGGUAAUACGGAGGAUGCGAGCGUUAUCCGGAUUUAUUGGGUUUAAAGGGUGCGCAGGCGGAAGAUCAAGUCAGCGGUAAAAUUGAGAGGCUCAACCUCUUCGAGCCGUUGAAACUGGUUUUCUUGAGUGAGCGAGAAGUAUGCGGAAUGCGUGGUGUAGCGGUGAAAUGCAUAGAUAUCACGCAGAACUCCGAUUGCGAAGGCAGCAUACCGGCGCUCAACUGACGCUCAUGCACGAAAGUGUGGGUAUCGAACAGGAUUAGAUACCCUGGUAGUCCACACAGUAAACGAUGAAUACUAAUUGUUCGGGGAGAAUGAUCCCUGAGUGAUACAGCGAAAGCGUUAAGUAUUCCACCUGGGGAGUACGCCGGCAACGGUGAAACUCAAAGGAAUUGACGGGGGCCCGCACAAGCGGAGGAACAUGUGGUUUAAUUCGAUGAUACGCGAGGAACCUUACCCGGGCUCAAACGACACAGGAAUACUUUUGAAAGGAAGUAGCUCUACGGAGCCUGUGUCGAGGUGCUGCAUGGUUGUCGUCAGCUCGUGCCGUGAGGUGUCGGCUUAAGUGCCAUAACGAGCGCAACCCCCAUCGCCAGUUACCAGCAAGUCAAGUUGGGGACUCUGGCGAGACUGCCGGCGCAAGCUGUGAGGAAGGCGGGGAUGACGUCAAAUCAGCACGGCCCUUACGUCCGGGGCGACACACGUGUUACAAUGGCAGGUACAGAGAGAAGCAAUGCGGCGACGCAAAGCGGAACUUGAAAGCCUGUCUCAGUUCGGAUUGGAGUCUGCAACUCGACUCCAUGAAGCUGGAUUCGCUAGUAAUCGCGCAUCAGCCAUGGCGCGGUGAAUACGUUCCCGGGCCUUGUACACACCGCCCGUCAAGCCAUGGAAGCCGGGAGUGCCUGAAGUGUGCAACCGCAAGGAGCGCCCUAAGGUAAAACUGGUGACUGGGGCUAAGUCGUAACAAGGUAACCGUA